AUGUCGACCGCCGCGGCUAACUGGUGCUACGCAACCGUAGUCGCGCCCCGUGCCCGCUCCUCCACCAUCGUCGCCAGCCUCGGCACCCCCGCGCCCUCCAACUCCUCCUCCUUCCGCCCCAAGCUCAUCAGGAACACCCCCGUCCAGGCCGCCCCCGUCGCACCCGCAUUGAUGGACGCCGCCGUGGAGCGCCUCAAGACCGGGUUCGAGAAGUUCAAGACCGAGGUCUACGACAAGAAGCCCGAUUUCUUCGAGCCCCUCAAGGCCGGCCAGGCGCCCAAGUACAUGGUGUUCGCGUGCGCCGACUCCCGUGUGUGCCCCUCGGUCACCCUGGGCCUGGAGCCCGGCGAGGCCUUCACCAUCCGCAACAUCGCCAACAUGGUCCCCUCCUACUGCAAGAACAAGUACGCCGGUGUUGGAUCGGCCAUCGAAUACGCCGUCUGUGCUCUCAAGGUUGAGGUCAUCGUGGUGAUUGGCCACAGCCGCUGCGGUGGAAUCAAGGCUCUGCUCUCACUCAAGGAUGGCGCAGACGACUCCUUCCACUUCGUCGAGGACUGGGUCAGGAUCGGCUUCCCGGCCAAGAAGAAGGUGCAGACUGAGUGCGCCUCCAUGCCUUUCGAUGACCAGUGCACCGUCCUCGAAAAGGAGGCAGUGAACGUGUCCCUCCAGAACCUCCUGACCUACCCGUUCGUCAAGGAGGGUGUGUCCAACGGAACCCUCAAGCUGGUCGGCGGUCACUACGACUUCGUCUCCGGCAAGUUCGAGACAUGGGAGCAGUGA
RNAcentral lists this ribosomal RNA (780 nucleotides) under Triticum aestivum (bread wheat). RNAcentral's name for it is "partial small subunit ribosomal RNA". Lineage: Eukaryota; Viridiplantae; Streptophyta; Magnoliopsida; Poales; Poaceae. The record is from RNAcentral.